Mesocricetus auratus (golden hamster) is the source of this 1434-nucleotide long non-coding RNA. RefSeq lists it as uncharacterized. The transcript has 2 exons. The record is from RefSeq and is a predicted model, not a curated record. NCBI's taxonomy places the organism in Eukaryota, Metazoa, Chordata, Mammalia, Rodentia, Cricetidae.
UUUCCAUUCUAGCUUGUUUCCGUGGCUCCUAGCACAGUGCCUGAUAAAAACAUGAUCCAACAAACACCUUCUGAGCAUAUGGAACUCCAUGUUGCCACACUUCUGUGGAGGUCAUGGAAGAGCUGGACACGGAGUCUCACUUUGUUCUCAUGCCGAAGGUCUACCCACAGCCCGCAGGAUGCGGAAGGGCCACUGUAUUUUACUUCCCGGAAAUGACGAAUCAAUAGCUGCUGCUGCUAAUGGCCAGAUUCAGGGACUGCUCAAUUUCUCCAACUGUACAUGUGUAUUACAAUGGGAUAAAUGCAAACUUCCCCAAAUGUACACAUGCAUUAAAAUGGGAUAAAGAAACAAGCCAAGUUCGUACAUGUGUAGAUUUUGUAUUUAUGUCUUUUUCUGUUGCUGAAGUGGAAAACCACAGCUAAAUAUACAUGCAUGAUUUAUAUUGUGCACAGUGUAUAUUUUUCAUAUUCAGUUUCCUAAACAUGCUCCAAAUACUGAAUGUUUUCACUGGCAAACAUUGUGACGGACCCUUCCUAUUCCUGCCUGCUGCUGCGUUUCCUUAUUUGUCCUCUCCUGAACAUCUCAGCUCUGGUGGAGCCUCUGCUUCUGGCUUUUCCUAGCCAUCAGUCUCUGAGGUCCCCAGAGAGGACACCUCCUUUGUCUAAGGCAUGUAGAUCCCGCAGCAUUAGACAGAAACCUUUCCCUGAAGGAUGUUCUCAAUAAGACCAAGGGCCACAGUUUCAGCCAGGAUGGAGAAGCUCCUGGGCCACCAGUUGCUGGGCAAUGGCUGCUGGAAGGAACCAGAAACGCAAACAAAAGGUGGUAAAGCAGGCACUGUCACAGUGAGGCCCACACUCAACAGCAACAGCAAAUCCCGGCAGUGUGGCCCUAAAAGCUCAGAGCAGAACCACAUCCUUCUGCCCUCAGGUGGUCCUUUUAAAUGCUUAGAACCCCCAGUCACUUCAUCGCACAAAAUUACAGGAAGAAUAGAUCGCCGUACAGUGCCAUCCCUCCUAGGAGGGUUUAAGCUCCAAGUGAGUGAAGUCCUGAUUAAAUGUACGCUGUCAACAUGGGCAUAGCCAUGUCAAGGGUCCCAUAACCUCAGAGCCAUGGGCAAAUGGCAGUCUUCCCCACAGAGUGAGGCUCAGGGCAUCCCUAGAGGGAUGACAAAGUUUUCCUCUGGUCCAUGUGGGGAUGUUGACAGUAUGUGCAGAAAAUAUCAUUAUUAGCUUGUCCCUCCGUGUUUACGGUCUGAAGGCUGCUCCCCUACAGAGCCUGCUCCUGUACAAAUUAGCUAAACUUGUCUUCUUGAUCCAGCUGUGUACCAUAAGUCCCGCCUCCUUGUUUAUCUGUAAUCACCAGCUUCCUUGUUCAGUUGUGUGCAGAAACUCUGCCUCUCUGCUCAACUGUGUAUAAUAAACUCGCUAAGCUUCU